CCUACGGGGUGCAGCAGUGAGGAAUAUUGGUCAAUGGACGAGAGUCUGAACCAGCCAAGUAGCGUGAAGGAUGACUGCCCUAUGGGUUGUAAACUUCUUUUAUAAAGGAAUAAAACGAGGCACGUGUGCCUUUUUGCAUGUACUUUAUGAAUAAGGAUCGGCUAACUCCGUGCCAGCAGCCGCGGUAAUACGGAGGAUCCGAGCGUUAUCCGGAUUUAGUGGGUUUAAAGGGAGCGUAGAUGGGUUGUUAAGUCAGUUGUGAAAGUUUGCGGCUCAACCGUAAAAUUGCAAUUGAUACUGGCAGCCUUGAGUACAGUUGAGGUAGGCGGAAUUCGUGGUGUAGCGGUGAAAUGCUUAGAUAUCACGAAGAACCCCGAUUGCGAAGGCAGCUUACUAAACUGUGACUGACAUUGAUGCUCGAAAGUGUGGGUAUCAAACAGGAUUAGAUACCCCUGUAGUC
Molecule: ribosomal RNA, 460 nt
Filed under: uncultured bacterium
Lineage: Bacteria
Description: partial 16S ribosomal RNA
Rfam family: Bacterial small subunit ribosomal RNA
Source: RNAcentral